This 1160-nucleotide long non-coding RNA is filed under the name Corvus moneduloides (New Caledonian crow). RNAcentral's name for it is "lncRNA (ENSCMUG00000019965.1)". The record is from RNAcentral. Lineage: Eukaryota; Metazoa; Chordata; Aves; Passeriformes; Corvidae.
GUUUGGAUGUUGCUGAGCAGGGCUUGCCCUCCCCAAGGACUUUACAGUGUCCCUUUGGACAAUCCAUGUCCCAUGCUCUGCCAGCAAGGACGUGACACCAUCAUUGUUCCCCUCCUCAUCCCUGUGUCCUACUUAGACAAGAAUCUUCCACCCACUCUGCUCCAGAGGGCCCUCAAGUGCCCACAGGGAGCCCCUUUCUUCCUCCUGUGGCACUGGAGAGCGCUGGGGUGAGGCAGGGCUGUGACGGCACAAAGGGGCUGAGCGCUGGUGAGAGGCAGGGCUGGGAUGUCACACGGCUGUCCUGGCCCACGGCACUGUGACAUCACCGCGCAGUCGCUACGUAACACAGGCCAGCACCUGCAGCUGCCAGUGCAGUCGCGAUGGGACGUGCCGGAGCCAUGUGUGACGGUGGCGUCCUGGUGAUUGUGCUUGUCCUGCUGCUGGCCACUGUGGCUGUCUGGUGGGCCGUUGGCCACUGGCAACCACGGAGGCGGCAGGCACGGACAUCAAAGAGGCGCAAGCGCCCCGGGGUGCAGCCCAGAGGCUCACGGAGGAAGCGAGGAGCCCCUGUGGCUCCCAGGUCCUCCAGGCCUCGGGCGACCCCUCGCAAGCGGCCACGUGCUCCCGCGAGCCCCCUGGACAGCCCCUGCAGCUGCGGCCCCUGCGUGGCAGUGGCCCAGGAGCUGCAGGAACUGAUGCUGCUGCUCUGGGCUCACAAUGGGACGUGGGUGCCGCUCUACUCUGGGAUGUGGCAGGCGUUGUGGAAAGAACUGGAGGAGCUGGUGAAGCAAGGCCACCUGCCCUGCUGUGGCUCGUCCAGCUCCUCCAGGAGCCUCCAUCCCUUCAAGAGGCUGCUCCCAGCAAGAUUCUCCAUCCCUGGGAGAGCCUCAACCCUUGCAAGGAUGGCACACCAUGAGGGACCCACCAUCCAGGCAAGAAGCUCAGGCUGUCAGAGAUCCUCCAUCCUGCCAGGAGCCUCCACUAUCUCUGACAGCCUCCAUCUCCCGCAGACGCUCAGUGAGACCUGUCAGCCUGCAGAAGGUGCAGAGCCUGUGCACAGGUCUCCCAGCUCCCUUGGACUCAGGGACUUCAACAAUACGGGCGCAACCCUGACAACUGAUGUGGCCAGGGAAAGACCAGAAGUCCAAGUGGGAGCCCAG